GUAGUCCACGCUGUAAACGAUGGAUACUAGGUGUGGGGGGACUGACCCCCUCCGUGCCGGAGUUAACACAAUAAGUAUCCCACCUGGGGAGUACGGCCGCAAGGUUGAAACUCAAAGGAAUUGACGGGGGCCCGCACAAGCAGUGGAGUAUGUGGAUUAAUUCGACGCGACGCGAAGAACCUUACCAGGACUUGACAUCCUACUAACGAAGUAGAGAUACAUUAGGUACCCUUCGGGGUAAGUAGAGACAGGUGGUGCAUGGUUGUCGUCAGCUCGUGUCGUGAGAUGUUGGGUUAAGUCCCGCAACGAGCGCAACCCUUAUGUUUAGUUGCUACGCAAGAGCACUCUAGACAGACUGCCGUUGACAAAACGGA
Molecule: ribosomal RNA, 374 nt
Filed under: uncultured bacterium
Lineage: Bacteria
Description: bacterial SSU rRNA
Rfam family: Bacterial small subunit ribosomal RNA
Source: RNAcentral